RNAcentral lists this small RNA (1341 nucleotides) under Oryza sativa Japonica Group (Japanese rice). Its description in RNAcentral is "sRNA Os05g0383150". Lineage: Eukaryota; Viridiplantae; Streptophyta; Magnoliopsida; Poales; Poaceae. The record is from RNAcentral.
GCAGACUGCCCAUGGACGAACUGACUGAUCGUGAUGCCUUGCCAGCCCACCCCCCGGGGUUAUGGUAUCAUGUUGGUUUCGACGUGCAGACAACAGCUGUGAAUUACACAGAAACUUAAGAUCUGACCUCAUACCUUCCGGCUUGAGUCUGGGCUCGAAAACCUUUGUAAGGAGCAUUGGGAGUGUUUUUGACUUCCAGCUUAUCAAUUUGAAGCCCAGAUAGUGCAACCCCCAUAAUCUUGAAUUUCACCUCAAACGUUGGGAAUGUAUGCAAAUGAGUAAGCCCUUCUUCAAGGCGUAAAUUCCCAGAGAGAGACGGGGCUUUGUCUUUUGGAAUCUGCCCUAUUGUCCAAAAGCAGGUAUUGACCUGGUCAGCAAGAAUAUCAACUGUGCCAUAGUUUGCAGUCAAAUCAGCAGAAGCAAUAAGUGGGGGCAAUCGAAACUGCACUGUUAUAGAAUCAAUAGUUUUCCCAGGAUCAUUUUUAAUCCCCACCAUCACAUUGACACGGCAAUUCCCCGAAUCUGAUGUUAACUGAGGUUUCACAUAAAUUGGUGUGAGCAAAUAUUUAUGCACCUGUAACUCAUGAGCUCGAACUGCCCGUCAGGGGGAACAAACGAAAGGAUCUGAUUGGACUCCCAAGGUCUGAAUCGGACACAAGGGUGAAACCUCACAUCGUUGAUAAUUGUAGGAUUAGAGAAUGACAAGGUCAGUUCUGGUACACCUGGAAGGCUAGAAUUUACUUGAAUUUUACCAUAUGCUUCACAUUUCACUAGAGCUCCUUCUCUUACCUGUUUACACAUGCAUCUAGUUCUUCAACUAUGUUAACAUAGACUUCAUUACUUGCAUCCUUGACAACAGUUGUUCUCCAUGGUACAAAAGAAGCAGCUGCAUCUGGAAGUUUGUUACCAAGAUUAGAACUCUUACCAGUCACAACAUUCAACAUUUUGCUGACAAUAUUUGGUGGGGCAAUCAUCUCUUUCAAGAUGUUUGGCUCAGUAGUGAGUGGAAAACCGUUGUCCAUCAUCUCAUCUAAAAUCUGCACUCAUACAAUACGAAGUUGUCUUUGAUUAUGUCUUCAUUUAAAUCUCCAAGAUAGUCAGUUAGGACAUCAGCAACCCGUGAGAGAAACUGGAACCAACAACGGGGGCAUCUCCACUUGGGUGCAUGCCAAGAAUGUCACCCCAUUUCGAUAAACUUGAAACAAGUAAUGCGUCGGAAGAGCCGAACAUCAACCUUGGAAGCGUCGCCGGCGGCGUGGGCGAGCACGUAGUCCCAGAACCAGCCGCAGAUGCCGCGGUCCACGCGGUGCGCCGUCAUCUGCUUCUCCACCAUCACCUCCC